RNAcentral lists this ribosomal RNA (464 nucleotides) under uncultured bacterium. RNAcentral's name for it is "bacterial SSU rRNA". It matches the Rfam family "Bacterial small subunit ribosomal RNA", at positions 917 to 1382 of the family's 1533-position model. The record is from RNAcentral.
GGCCCCGCACAAGCGGCGGAGCAUGCGGAUUAAUUCGAUGCAACGCGAAGAACCUUACCUGGGUUUGACAUAUAUCGGAAACGUUCAGAGAUGGGCGCCCCGUAAGGUCGGUAUACAGGUGGUGCAUGGCUGUCGUCAGCUCGUGUCGUGAGAUGUUGGGUUAAGUCCCGCAACGAGCGCAACCCUCGUCCAAUGUUGCCAGCGGGUUAUGCCGGGGACUCAUUGGAGACCGCCGGGGUCAACUCGGAGGAAGGUGGGGAUGACGUCAAGUCAUCAUGCCCCUUAUGUCCAGGGCUUCACGCAUGCUACAAUGGCCGGUACAAAGAGUUGCGGGCCUGUGAGGGUGAGCGAAUCUCAAAAAGCCGGUCUCAGUUCGGAUUGGGGUCUGCAACUCGACCCCAUGAAGUCGGAGUCGCUAGUAAUCGCAGAUCAGCAACGCUGCGGUGAAUACGUUCCCGGGGCUU